UCUCUCUUCUCUUUCCCUUUGUAGCGAGCCCCUCUUCCCUUUCUCACCUCUCCGCUCCUUCCCACUCCAUCCUCCUCGCGCAUGUGGCCACCACCACAUGCAGCGCCACUACCCCUCUCUCCCUCGGCUUCCUUUCUUUUCUUCUUCUCCAUGCAAGAUCAUUGCUGGACAAUCUCUCUCCUUCUCCCCGACUCGCGGUGGUUCGCCACGAGUAGCUCCUCCUUUGAGUGGAGAUCGUGGCUAUGUGAUCUCCCCACCUUCCUCUCCUUUCAACCGAAUGGCCUCAAGUGAGGGAAACCCUAAUCGGGUUUCCGCUAAAUAGGCUGACCGUCGGCCAUUGGAUAUCUAUUGAGAGAUCUAGGUCGUUCAUUUUGGUCAGGGGCAUUUUUGUCAUUUCACAUCCAAAAAUGCAUCUUGACCAUUCAAUCAGGAGCACCUAGAUCGUAGCCGUAGGAUCUAGGGUUUCAUUAAGGGCAAAAGGGCAUGUGUGAAAUCUCGACCGUUAGAUAAGAUGUCAUGCAAUCUACACCAUUCAUUCGAAUUUUGAUUGAGAUAGAAUCCUAACCGUUUGAUCAAAUUAGGCAGGAAACAAUCCAGGGCAUUAGAUCAUGAUCCGCAUGAAGUGGCCUCUCAGCCGUCGGAUUACCCUGCCCACAAGUGAUCGCAACCAUCCCUUAAGAGCAUAACAAGGACACGUGUGGACUGUUGAUAAU
Molecule: long non-coding RNA, 713 nt
Filed under: Carica papaya (papaya)
Lineage: Eukaryota; Viridiplantae; Streptophyta; Magnoliopsida; Brassicales; Caricaceae
Description: long non-coding RNA (CPAP_LNC009412)
Source: RNAcentral